Pelobates cultripes (western spadefoot toad) is the source of this 160-nucleotide non-coding RNA. NCBI's taxonomy places the organism in Eukaryota, Metazoa, Chordata, Amphibia, Anura, Pelobatidae. The record is from the annotation of a GenBank genome assembly.
GCCAAAAUGCCAGAGUAUUGCAGUAUGCAAUGGUACAUUUUUUUUAUUAACUUCAGACCUGAGGAAGAGAGGAAAACUCUCGAAAGCUGGUCUUUGAAAUACUAUGUUAGUCCAAUAAAAAAAGGGAUCAUUGCAUACUGCAGUACUCUGGUAUUUUGGC